This 804-nucleotide ribosomal RNA is filed under the name uncultured bacterium. RNAcentral describes it as "bacterial SSU rRNA". It matches the Rfam family "Bacterial small subunit ribosomal RNA", at positions 1 to 812 of the family's 1533-position model. The record is from RNAcentral.
GAAUUCGCCCUUAGAGUUUGAUCCUGGCUCAGGACGAACGCUGGCGGCGUGCCUAACACAUGCAAGUCGAGCGGGGAUCGGGAGCUUGCUUCUGAUUCUAGCGGCGGACGGGUGAGUAACGCGUGAGCAACCUGCCUCGAACUGGGGGAUAACGCAUCGAAAGAUGUGCUAAUACCGCGUAAGACCACAGUACCACAUGGUGCAGGGGUCAAAGGAGCAAUCCGGUUUGAGAUGGGCUCGCGUCCGAUUAGCUAGUUGGUGAGAUAAAAGCCCACCAAGGCGACGAUCGGUAGCCGACCUGAGAGGGUGAUCGGCCACAUUGGAACUGAGAUGCGGUCCAGACUCCUACGGGAGGCAGCAGUGGGGAAUAUUGGGCAAUGGGCGAAAGCCUGACCCAGCAACGCCGCGUGAGGGAAGAAGGGUUUCGGCUCGUAAACCUCUGUCCUAUGGGACGAAGGAAGUGACGGUACCAUAGGAGGAAGCCCCGGCUAACUACGUGCCAGCAGCCGCGGUAAUACGUAGGGGGCGAGCGUUGUCCGGAAUGAUUGGGCGUAAAGGGCGCGUAGGCGGCCUGUUAAGUCUGGAGUGAAGGUCCUGCUUUCAAGGUGGGAAUUGCUUUGGAUACUGACGGGCUCGAGUGCAGGAGAGGAAAGCGGAAUUACCGGUGUAGCGGUGAAAUGCGUAGAGAUCGGUAGGAACACCAGUGGCGAAGGCGGCUUUCUGGACUGAAACUGACGCUGAGGCGCGAAAGCGUGGGGAGCAAACAAGAUUAGAUACCCUGGUAGUCCACGCGGUAAACGAUGA